RNAcentral lists this ribosomal RNA (229 nucleotides) under uncultured bacterium. RNAcentral describes it as "partial 16S ribosomal RNA". It matches the Rfam family "Bacterial small subunit ribosomal RNA", at positions 568 to 796 of the family's 1533-position model. The record is from RNAcentral.
UGCGUAGGCGGAAUAUUAAGUCAGUGGUGAAAUCCUGCAGCUCAACUGUAGAAUUGCCAUUGAUACUGUUAUUCUUGAGUAUAGUUGAGGUGGGCGGAAUGUAUCAUGUAGCGGUGAAAUGCUUAGAUAUGAUACAGAACACCGAUUGCGUAGGCAGCUCACUAAACUAUUACUGACGCUGAGGCACGAAAGCGUGGGGAGCGAACAGGAUUAGAUACCCUGGUAGUCC